CCUACGGGAGGCAGCAGUAGGGAAUAUUGCUCAAUGGGGGAAACCCUGAAGCAGCAACGCCGCGUGAAGGAUGAAGGUUUUCGGGUUGUAAACCUCUUUUGUUAGAGAAGAUAAUGACGGUAUCUAACGAAUAAGCACCGGCUAACUCCGUGCCAGCAGCCGCGGUAAUACGGAGGGGGCAAGCGUUAAUCGGAAUCACUGGGCGGAAAGAGUGCGUAGGCGGGUUAACAAGUCAGAUGUGAAAUGCUAUAGGUUAACCCUAGAACUGCAUUUGAAACUGGUAAUCUAGAGUAUAGGAGAGGUAGGUGGAAUUCUUGGUGUAGGGGUGAAAUCCGUAGAGAUCAAGAGGAAUACUCAUUGCGAAGGCGACCCGCUGGACUGUAACUGACGCUGAGGCGCGAAAGCGUGGGGAGCAAACAGGAUUAGAUACCCCUGUAGUC
RNAcentral lists this ribosomal RNA (440 nucleotides) under uncultured bacterium. Its description in RNAcentral is "partial 16S ribosomal RNA". It matches the Rfam family "Bacterial small subunit ribosomal RNA", at positions 338 to 795 of the family's 1533-position model. The record is from RNAcentral.